GGGAUGAGUGUCUCCGUGACCUCUUAUGGGAUGAGUGUCUCCGUGACCUCUUAUGGGAUGAGUGUCUCCGUGACCUCUAUUAUGGGAUGAGGUUCUCUGACCUCUAUUAUGGGAUGAGUGUCUCCGUGACCUCUAUUAUGGGAUGAGUGUCUCCGUGACCUCUAUUAUGGGAUGAGUGUCUCCAUGACCUCUAUGAUGGGAUGAGUGUCUCCAUGACCUCUAUUAUAGGAUGAGUGUCUCCGUGACAUGCAGACCAAAGCUUCAUACAGUAAAUGACACCACAGAUAGAGAAGCAGGCAGGGGUCCAGCUAGUUUUGGGACACAGCAUUGCACCAUAUUCCUGCUUCAUGCAAGCAUCCAGUAUCCUGCCCUCUACCUGGGAUGGCAGCAGAGCUCUCCUCCUCUCCUCUCCUCUCCUCCUCAGCCUCCAGUAUCCUGCCCUCUACCUCGGAUAGCAGCAGAGCUCUCCUCCUCUCCUCUCCUCUCCUCCUCAGCCUCCAGUAUCCUGCCCUCUGCCUGGGAUAGCAGCAGAGCUCUCCUCCUCUCCUCUCCUCCUCAGCCUCCAGUAUCCUGCCCUCUACCUGGGAUUCUCCUCUCCUCUCCUCUCCUCUCCUCUCCUCUCCUCUCCUCUCCUCUCCUCUCCUCUCCUCUCCUUUCCUCCUCAGCCUCCAGUAUCCUGCCCUCUACCUGGGAUAGCAGCAGAGCUCUCCUCCUCCCUCCUCUCCUCUCCUCCUCAGCCUCCAGUGUCCUUCCCUCUACCUGGGAUAGCACCAGAGCUCUCCUCCUCUCCUCUUCUCCUCUCCUCUUCUCCUCCUCUCCGCUUCUCCCUCUCAUCUCCUCCUCAGCCUCCAGUAUCCUGCCCUCUACCUGGGAUGGCCCCAGAGCUCUCCUCCUCUCCUCUCCUCCUCAGCCUCCAGUAUCCUGCCCUCUACCUGGGAUAGCACCAGAGCUCUCCUCCUCUCAUCUUCUCCUCUUCUCCUCUCCUCCUCUCCUCUCCGCUUCUCCCCCUCUCCUCUCCUCCUCAGCCUCCAGUAUCCUGCCCUCUACCUGGGAUAGCACCAGAGCUCUCCUCCUCUCCUCUUCUCCUCUCCUCCUCUCCUCUCCGCUUCUCCCCCUCUCAUCUCCUCCUCAGCCUCCAGUAUCCUGCCCUCUACCUGGGAUGGCCCCAGAGCUCUCCUCCCUCCUCCUCUCCUCUCCUCCUCAGCCUCCAGUGUCCUGCCCUCUACCUGGGAUUCUCCUCCUCUCCUCUCCUCUCCUCUCCUCUC
Long non-coding RNA from Oncorhynchus tshawytscha (Chinook salmon), 1265 nucleotides. The record is from Ensembl. NCBI's taxonomy places the organism in Eukaryota, Metazoa, Chordata, Actinopteri, Salmoniformes, Salmonidae.